GGAACACCCUACCGGCAAGAGCCCACGGGUACCGUUCACAGACUAAGUGAUUGUGGGCGGGGCGUCUCGCCCCGUCUAAGAUAUAGUCUGUCUCUGCUCGAAAGGGCGAGCCUAGCGCGUCCGUAAGUGAACCUGCGGAAGGAUCAUUAAAGAAUCGCCCCGGUUUUUGAAAUGGGUUCUAUUCCCAAACCGUGUAUACAUACCUUUGUUGCUUUGGCAGGCCGCCUUUUACGCGUCGGCUCCGGCUGACUGCCCCGGCCAAACGACCCAAUCUCUUUUGUUUACUGAUGUCUGAGUACUAUAUAAUAGUUAAAACUUUCAACAACGGAUCUCUUGGAUCUGGCAUCGAUGAAGAACGCAGCGAAAUGCGAUAAGUAAUGUGAAUUGCAGAAUUCAGUGAAUCAUCGAAUCUUUGAACGCACAUUGCGCCCCUUGGUAUUCCGAGGGGCAUGCCUGUUCGAGCGUCAUUAUAACCACUCAAGCCUCGGCUUGGUCUUGGGGUUCGCGGUCUCGCGGCCCUUAAAAUCAGUGGCGGUGCCGUCUGGCUCUAAGCGUAGUAAUUUUCUCGCUAUAGGGUCUAGGCGACCACCUGCCAAAACCCCCCAUUCUUUACGGUUGACCUCGGAUCAGUA
Molecule: ribosomal RNA, 632 nt
Filed under: Helotiales sp. bc_besc_15c
Lineage: Eukaryota; Fungi; Ascomycota; Leotiomycetes; Helotiales
Description: eukaryotic LSU rRNA
Rfam family: 5.8S ribosomal RNA (bases 314-467)
Source: RNAcentral